CCCUUUUCACAAUGAAAACCCUAACCCUCACCACAUUUUCUCUUUCAUCUCUCACCUCAUUCUGUCUUUCACACUCUCUCUCAUUUUCUCUCUUUAAAAUGAAAGAACCCUAGCUCCAUCUCACUGUUGGAUCAUGGAGAUUCAUCUCUUUGGAGCCUUGGAGGAGAUCAACAACUCUUGGAGGAAGCCCUAAGGAGGAAAAGACAAACCACCUCCACCACAUUUCUCUUGCUAGUAGGAGCAGAGGAUUUUCUUGGAGUUUUAAAGAUAUCAAGGAGCUUCUCUUAGGCAAGAUUCAAAGAGAAGAGUUACCUACCGCCCGCGAGGCAGGGGAUCCCAACAAGGGCAUUGCAAGUAGCUAGAUCAGUGUGUGAGCUGCUUGAGCAAGAUAGGCGCACCAUACCGCUGUGGAGGUGAGCCCUCUUUGCCGAACUGUGGGAACAUGCUGAUUAGGGCGCCCCCAGUUCUGGGUUUAGGGCGCCCAAAUCUGGGAUUUCGGUGCUGAGGCAGCAACCUUCUUUUCUUCAUCCAAAUCCCCUCCAAAUCAGCUCUACUCCAUCUCUUCCUCCUUGCGGUGGAUCCAGAAUUGCAGGAUUCCAUCAGUAACCUCGGCAAAUUGUGGAAUUGUGAUCUGUUGGGCCUUCCAAUUGCUGUGGGGAACAAUUUUGCGGAUUGUAGACUUGAGGGGGAGUGUGUGAAGUAAUCCUAACUCCAUUUAAUCUAGGAUAGCAUAGUUGAAUUGCUGAAAUUUUACUUGAAUUGGAAUUUUGAGCUGAAAUUGAACUUUUGUUGGUUUUCUUGGACCUGAUUCUUAUUGUAGUUGGCUUUUGGAUUUGGAACUGAUUCUUAUUGAAGGAGGUUUUUGAACCCCUUCCCACUGGUUUUGCAAGUUGAAAUUCCCAAAUUUUAGCUUGAAUUGAGUUGAUGUGCUGGCAACUUACUGCUUUCUGGACUUUGCUGAAUCUGGGCCUCCAUUUUUGGAUCUAGAUUGUCUUGGAGGACUUUUGGUUGCUAUUAUAGUUGAGAACUGGUGGAGCAACACACCCUUGUGUUGGGUCCGGUUGCUAUGAGAGCCGUCAAUUGCUGCUGCUGCUUCUGAUCGAGAUAAGAAAGUCGCAAUCUAGAUCCUGUCUACUCCGAUCGUUGAGCUAGAGAAGUACCAUUUUGGAGACAAUAGUUGUUUAUAGUCAUGUACCCAAUUGUAUUUUAUUUCAUCUGUUGAGAGUUGUGAGGUGUUGGUGUUAUACUUUGAUUUUUGUUAUACACCUUGGAUUAUAUUAUGUACAGGUGACUUAUUUAUUUC
Molecule: long non-coding RNA, 1303 nt
Organism: Ananas comosus (pineapple)
Lineage: Eukaryota; Viridiplantae; Streptophyta; Magnoliopsida; Poales; Bromeliaceae
Exons: 7
Source: RefSeq, a predicted model, not a curated record